This 343-nucleotide unclassified non-coding RNA is filed under the name soil metagenome. RNAcentral's name for it is "partial contains 5.8S ribosomal RNA, internal transcribed spacer 2, and large subunit ribosomal RNA". The stretch from base 1 to 120 matches the Rfam family "5.8S ribosomal RNA", at positions 35 to 154 of the family's 154-position model. The record is from RNAcentral.
GAUGAAGAACGCAGCGAAAUGCGAUAAGUAAUGUGAAUUGCAGAAUUCAGUGAAUCAUCGAAUAUUUGAACGCACAUUGCGCCCGCCAGCAUUCUGGCGGGCAUGCCUGUUCGAGCGUCAUUUCAACCCUCGAGCCCCCCCGGGGGCCUCGGUGUUGGGGGACGGCACACCAGCCGCCCCCGAAAUGCAGUGGCGACCCCGCCGCAGCCUCCCCUGCGUAGUAGCACACACCUCGCACCGGAGCGCGGAGGCGGUCACGCCGUAAAACGCCCAACUUUCUUAGAGUUGACCUCGGAUCAGGUAGGAAUACCCGCUGAACUUAAGCAUAUCAAUAAGCGGAGGA